This 448-nucleotide ribosomal RNA is filed under the name uncultured bacterium. Its description in RNAcentral is "bacterial SSU rRNA". It matches the Rfam family "Bacterial small subunit ribosomal RNA", at positions 331 to 795 of the family's 1533-position model. The record is from RNAcentral.
CCAGACUCCUACGGGAGGCAGCAGUGGGGAAUAUUGCACAAUGGGGGGAACCCUGAUGCAGCGACGCCGCGUGGGUGAAGGAGUAUUUCGGUAUGUAAAGCCCUAUCAGCAGGGAAGAACAAUGACGGUACCUGACUAAGAAGCACCGGCUAAAUACGUGCCAGCAGCCGCGGUAAUACGUAUGGUGCAAGCGUUAUCCGGAUUUACUGGGUGUAAAGGGGGCGCAGACGGCGAUGCAAGCCAGGAGUGAAAGCCCGGGGCCCAACCCCGGGACUGCUCUUGGAACUGCGUGGCUGGAGUGCAGGAGGGGCAGGCGGAAUUCCUGGUGUAGCGGUGAAAUGCGUAGAUAUCAGGAGGAACACCGGUGGCGAAGGCGGCCUGCUGGACUGCAACUGACGUUGAGGCCCGAAAGCGUGGGGAGCAAACAGGAUUAGAUACCCGCGUAGCA